AGUCUCUUUCCCAGCAGUGAUGCCGUCUCAGCCACCAGUUCUCUGCCAGCGGGGUCAGCACAGGCAUGCCCAACAGAUGCUUGGAACAAAUAAACAGGCCAGCAAGUCUUGGAGAGGUUGUCAGGCUGAGUUGAGACAUGCUGUCCCUUUUGAAAGCUGUUGAUGUACUUAGAAGGAUCAGCAUCUGGGGCCAGAUCAUCUCUGACUCUACAUUAAAGCCAGAGUUCUCAUCUUCUUCAUAAUGAUGGUAUGUACUAGUGUUUAAUGCUGCAUUCUUUUCAAAGUCCCAAGAUCACCAGCCAACAAUUAGUUAACUGGGGCCCUGCAGUCAGGGUCUUGGACUCCAAGUCCUGAGUGCUUUUCCUGGCCAAUGCAGAUUCACAACUUCGGGGGUUAGUCUCGAGAGCAUUAGAAGUCCCUCAGAAAUUGUGAGCUGUGAGGGGACUGACUGUGAUUUCACUGGGGUUACAUGUCCCUUGCUUCUUUUAGGAGAACAAGCUUGGGACACUAUUGGACACACUUCUGAGGGUUUGGAUCAGAGGGGCAGGGGCAUAUGGAGGACUGAUCCCCAGAGUCAGACCUCAACCAUGCUGGGGUGUAGAAAUGAGCCAGGCUCAGGAAUCCAGCAGACACAUGCUUUUGAGCACUGCCUCCAUUUGGCAGGUCCUAAACUUCUCUGAGCCUUGGUUUUCCUCCAGGUAAAGCGGGUAUGGCAUACAUGAUAGUGCUUGGCGUUUUGUGAGGAUGCACUGGGUGAGCAUUCAGCAACUGUAACCUCCCUUCCUAUUUCUCCCUGGCUUGUUCCUCAAGUCCCUUCUUGCAGAAAGACCACAGCCAAUCUCGGCCCUUUUCUUCUCCCUUGCCUUGGCUGCCUCUUGUUCAUGUUGGUCGGCACUCUUAACCAGCCCCCUCGUAGUCACCCGUGAGAUUGAGCACGUGGCUGCCGCACAGCCCCCCACAAACACGCUGGUAGGGGCUGAGAGGCUUGAAUGAGACAACUCCGAUUCUGUGCUCAGCAGCUCGGUGGCCGGCCUGUUGGGUGCAUGUUAACUGUGAUUAUUGUUAUGCAGGACUC
Molecule: long non-coding RNA, 1075 nt
Filed under: Homo sapiens (human)
Lineage: Eukaryota; Metazoa; Chordata; Mammalia; Primates; Hominidae
Description: non-protein coding lnc-ADAMTS15-2:2
Source: RNAcentral